GAAGUGAUGCUUCGUAAAUAAUUUUCUGGAAGAAAUUCAUAUCCUGUAAAGGAUAAAAAAAGGCGACUCAACGUAAGUCGCCUUUUUUGUGCCC
This is a non-coding RNA of Escherichia coli ISC11, 94 nucleotides long. The record is from Rfam. Lineage: Bacteria; Pseudomonadati; Pseudomonadota; Gammaproteobacteria; Enterobacterales; Enterobacteriaceae.